AACGAACGCUGGCGGCAUGCCUAACACAUGCAAGUCGAACGAGACCUUCGGGUCUAGUGGCGCACGGGUGCGUAACGCGUGGGAACCUGCCCUUAGGUUCGGAAUAACUCCCCGAAAGGGGUGCUAAUACCGGAUAAUGUCUUCGGACCAAAGAUUUAUCGCCUUUGUAUGGGCCCGCGUUGGAUUAGCUAGUUGGUAGGGUAAAAGCCUACCAAGGCGACGAUCCAUAGCUGGUCUGAGAGGAUGAGCAGCCACACUGGGAGUGAGACACGGCCCAGACUAUUACGCGAGGGAGCAGUGGGGAAUAUUGGACAAUGGGCGAAAGCAUGAUGCAGCAAGGCCGCGUGAGUGAUGAAGGCCUUAGGGAAGUAAAGCUCUUUUAUCCGGGACGAUAAUGACAGUACCGGGAGAAUAAGCACCGGCUAACUCCGUG
This 433-nucleotide ribosomal RNA is filed under the name uncultured bacterium. RNAcentral describes it as "partial 16S ribosomal RNA". It matches the Rfam family "Bacterial small subunit ribosomal RNA", at positions 29 to 507 of the family's 1533-position model. The record is from RNAcentral.